GUUUUUGUUUGAAAAUACCAUACAAAACUAAAAGAAUUUGUCACAUCCCCUUGUGUCUCUGGAGAAAAAAAAAAAAGAAGUCUGCUUCAUUCACCAACCACCUCUAUAUUCAUUAUUAUUACGGUGUGUGAAUGAGAAGCACUAACCAGUUCUAUUUACACUUUCCAAAACAGCAGAAAAUGUGCUUGGUUUACAAACGUCUCUGAACAGGAAGGUGUGUGAAUUGUCCCUUAUCUAGAUUGUUCUCCAGGGUUUAUCCUGUGUUGGCACACUCUGUAAACCCCACGCCAAACAGCACACGCAUAGCAUGGGUGUCAUGGCAAAUGUAUCAACAUACACAAAAAACAAACAGAGGAAGUGGUUAAUGAAU
Non-coding RNA from Pelobates cultripes (western spadefoot toad), 370 nucleotides. NCBI's taxonomy places the organism in Eukaryota, Metazoa, Chordata, Amphibia, Anura, Pelobatidae. The record is from the annotation of a GenBank genome assembly.